UGUUCAUAUAAUACUGCCAGUUGACUGUCAAUACUGAAAAUCUAGUUCCCGUUACAUAUACUAAUAACUGAUUUCCAUUUG
Molecule: long non-coding RNA, 81 nt
Organism: Trachymyrmex cornetzi
Lineage: Eukaryota; Metazoa; Arthropoda; Insecta; Hymenoptera; Formicidae
Exons: 3
Source: RefSeq, a predicted model, not a curated record